AUGAACGCUGGCGGCGUGCCUAAUACCUGCAAGUCGAGCGAACAGACGAGGAGCUUGCUCCUCUGACGUUAGCGGCGGACGGGUGAGUAACACGUGGAUAACCUACCUAUAAGACUGGGAUAACUUCGGGAAACCGGAGCUAAUACCGGAUAAUAUAUUGAACCGCAUGGUUCAAUAGUGAAAGACGGUUUUGCUGUCACUUAUAGAUGGAUCCGCGCCGCAUUAGCUAGUUGGUAAGGUAACGGCUUACCAAGGCAACGAUGCGUAGCCGACCUGAGAGGGUGCUCGGCCACACUGGAACUGAAACACGGUCCAGACUCCUACGGGAGGCAGCAGUAGGGAAUCUUACGCAAUGGGCGAAAGCCUGACGGAGCAACGCCGCGUGAGUGAUGAAGGUCUUCGGAUCGUAAAACUCUGUUAUUAGGGAAGAACAAAUGUGUAAGUAACUAUGCACGUCUUGACGGUACCUAAUCAGAAAGCCACGGCUAACUACGUG
Molecule: ribosomal RNA, 496 nt
Filed under: uncultured bacterium
Lineage: Bacteria
Description: partial 16S ribosomal RNA
Rfam family: Bacterial small subunit ribosomal RNA
Source: RNAcentral